This is a long non-coding RNA of Aethalodelphis obliquidens (Pacific white-sided dolphin), 426 nucleotides long. RefSeq lists it as uncharacterized. The transcript has 2 exons. The record is from RefSeq and is a predicted model, not a curated record. Lineage: Eukaryota; Metazoa; Chordata; Mammalia; Artiodactyla; Delphinidae.
UCCGUGGCAUGUGGGAUCUUCCUGGGCCGGGGCAUGAACCCGUGUCCCCUGCAUCGGCAGGUGGACUCUCAACCACUGCGCCACCAGGGAAGCCCUAUUUGGGUCUUUAAUGCAGCUGGAGUGUAUGUUUAUGAUUGAAAUGAGAUAUGAUCUAAUCUUUCUGCAAACAUACAGCUGAUUAUUGCAACAUGACGGACUGUCUAGUUCCUUCUCUCUCCACUGAUCUGAAGUGAAACUCCCUCAUAUACUGAAUUGCCAUGUCUAGGUGCUGUUGGGUAAAAACGUGAUACUUGGAGCUCUGACAGCCAUCUUGUGACCACGAGGGGAAGGCCAGGAGAUGCAACUCUGUGCUGACUCAAUUCGGACACCUGGCACCACUGACUUCUGGACUUUCUUUGAAAUAAAUAAAAUGGUCUUACUGUUUAA